GGACUACCCGGGUUUCUAAUCCUGUUUGCUCCCCACGCUUUCGUGUCUGAGUGUCAGUGCUGGUCCAGAUAGCCGCCUUCGCCACUGGUGUUCCUCCCGAUCUCUACGCAUUUCACCGCUACACCGGGAAUUCCACUAUCCUCUACCGCACUCUAGCUUGCCAGUCUCCACUGCCAUUCCCAGGUUGAGCCCGGGGCUUUCACAGCAGACUUAACAAACCACCUGCACACGCUUUACGCCCAGUAAUUCCGAGUAACGCUUGCACCCUUCGUAUUACCGCGGCUGCUGGCAC
This 292-nucleotide ribosomal RNA is filed under the name uncultured bacterium. Its description in RNAcentral is "partial 16S ribosomal RNA". The record is from RNAcentral.